ACAGGCUCCAGGCUCCGAGCCAUCAGCCCAGAGCCCGACGCAGGGCUCGAACUCACAGACCCCGAGAUCGUGACCUGGCUGAAGUCGGACGCUUAACCGACUGCGCCACCCAGGCGCCCCAGCCCACUUUUGCUUCCAAAAUGUGAUCACAUUCUUUUACACACAUGCACGGGCAUGCACACACACACACACACACACACACGACUUGAUCUCCUUUGUUAGGACAGAGGAUUGAGAACUAGAUGCAUAGUGCUUCCUGUAAAGUCUCUGAGCCACAGUUUCAAGCCCCAGGUCUGGCUUCCAGGCAUGUAGCCAGGCUAGUGGGAAGGUGGCAUGGCUGGGAUAAUCUCCUUUUUCUCAUAAUUCUGAGUCAACACCUGUUAGACGGACAGCAUCAUGCCAGCUUCUGAGCAAACAGAAACCUGGUCUGACAUGGGUGCAUUCUUGUGGACAAUCCCCCUGUCUGAUGUCACCACUUAAGAAGUAUCUGUGGAGCUUAUCCUGGCUUUAGUAGCCCUUCAGUUAAGACUAGCUGUGUAGUUUUCAAGGAGUGUCACACCCUGUCUGGGUUCAGUCUCCCCACUAUCCAAGGAGACAUUUAUACUAAUCCAACGGCACUGAAGGUCCCCAGUCUGUGUGCCUCCCUGUCUUAGGGUGAAGAGUGGGUAUUGUAGGGAUGGGGCAUCUCUCCCUGCCCACCUCUAGGCCUUUCAUGCUUUUCAUCCUUCUGAUGACCCUUGCACCCUAAAAAUGCCGAGAACAUGAUUGUCUGUCUCAGGGAGACAGACUAAUGACCAGGAUGUCAGGCUGGUCCUUGCGGCCAAGACUGGUGAAUUUGUAGCGCUGGCGCCCCAUGCCUGAUACAGUGCCUGGUAUGUUGCUCAUGUCCAAUAGCAGUUGAUGAAUGAAUAAAUUGAUGGAUGAAUUAAUAAACACACACUCCUCCCACCCUGCCCCUGUCCCCCACUCCAACCCCUUGAUCCCUCUGCCAUGUCCUUUUGCAAUAGCGGCUGAAAGCAUUUCACGGACAAUUACAGUGUGGCCCCCUUCCCACACCACUGGCUGUUUCCACUGCUCCCCACUUUUCCUCAUCACUACACUUUGCUGCCUCCCCUCUCCUCCUCCUCUAGCUCUUGCAUUGCCCUAUCAGGAGGGAGAGUUCUUCCACAGAGAAAGAGUCUCUAGAGGGAAGACCAGGCUUCAGGCUUCUGCUCAGGGGUCUGGAGGUAGAAAGCAUAGCUGAGCAGGUGUGGGGGACUGGCCAUUGAAGCUAGGACUCCAGGACUCCCCAACCCAGAGCCUGGGCUAGAGCAUAAUUACCUCCCAUUAAUAUGGUAAUCUCUCCUUUAUGGAAGGAAGGCCACUCUUUUCCUUAAAUAAUGAAGAGCUAGGAGGACACACAGUGCCCGGAAGUAGCUGGGCUGAAACGUGAGUUUUCAUGUGUUAAUUCAAGUCCCUCUGAUAAGUGUUUAGCAUUACUUCUGAUGGUGCCCGGGAAAGACAGACAGAAAGGAGAAAGGAAGUGGGAUAAGAGCAAGGAGAAGGAGGAAGUGGGGAGAGAAAAGGAGGACGAGGAGGAGGGAGGGAGGGGGAAGGGCACACAAUGAGAAAAGGACCAAUAGCAGGAGAACAAGAAAUAAACCAGCCUGAAACCCCCACAGAAACAAAGUGGGGCCCUGAUGAUCUUUGCACAGUCCCCCAGGCCUGUUCCUCACUCUGGUCGGUGGGGCUGUAUUUCUAAUGUUUCUAAUUCUUGUCCCUCCUGACCCACCCACAUCAGUAUCUCCACAUUCCCAGGCAGCUGGGGUCAUGUAGUCAGCCCACUUUUGUGUGUGUGGGGGGGGGAGGGCUUCCUGAGCGGGGUGUUGUGGCUCUCCCCCUGAAGUAGACAUCUCCUUGCCCCCUGGUUCUCAGAGUCCCCAUGUGUUGGGUCAAUUGAGCCACAAGUGACAAGCAGAUGUGGUCACAGGGGUGGCCAUUUGACCACUAUGAGCAAAUGUUUACAACUCAUUUUGGGAAUUCAACCAUCCCUUCUGUUCAAGGCAGCUGUGUGUGUGUGUGUGUGUGUGUGUGUGUGUUCUCAGUCCAGCAUCUCUGGUCUCCCCUCUCUGCUGCCUCCCCUCUUUGCUAGCCUUAAUUACAGCAAUUGAGAAGGCUUGCUUAAGAUUGCAGAGUAAACCUAUCAAUAUUUCACUUAAGAAUGGAUUUCUGUCGGAUGGUAUCAGAGGCUAUAAAUGAGAAAUAUGAGACUUGUUCUCAGGUAGCCUUACACACACACGCACGCGCGCACACACACACACCUCAGAUGAAUUAUUAACACGUGAUUUCCUUUCUGUCUCAGGCACUGGGAACAGCUGAAGGCUUUAUUCAGCUAUAGUCAGAGAUGAAUGUUUCUACUGAAGCUAUUUGCCUAAAACACAUUCAGAUAAACCCAAGAGAACCAUGGCUCCGUGUGCUGGGGUUUCCUGUUGGUGAGGAGGUAGAAGACCCUGCUGCUCUGUGCACCUCCAUCUCCAGGUCUGUUGGGAGAGGAAGGGUUGUUUCCCCCAACCAAGAGGGCAGGGUCACCAAUAGGCUGACAAGGCAGUGUCUCUGCUGGGGUGGAGGAGGGACCUGGGCACAGGAUCCCUCUUGCUCCCUUUCCUUGUCUUCCUCUCCUUCUAGAGGGAUCCAGAGAUACAGGCUCUCACAAUCCUCUGUAAUUCCUCAGCCUUGGAGUCUGCAAGUACCCUGAUGCUUUUAGCAUUGGGAAUAACUUGUGGUGGAAUGAACAUGGGCUUGGUGAUCAGACACACCCAAGCCACUUGCAAUCUAUGUAAACUGGGUAAGUCACACCUUCUCUGAACCUCAGUUUCCCCAGCUCCAAAUGAGGAAACAGUUGGAUCCAUCUCACUGGAUUGGUGAUGGAAAAAUAUAAAACCCUACAAUGAAGGGCUCCAGGGUGGCCACUUGGCUGGUGGAGAUGACAGUGUGAUUUCUCAGUAUUGUUUGUUCUGGGUGCCCCCCUUAAAAAGGGCAUUGACCAACUCAGUUUGUCCAGAGAGAGGUGACUAGGGUACUGAAUGGUUGGAAAACCAUGGGCUUGUAAGAGCAAAUAGAAGACAUUGGAAGUAUUUAGCCUGGAGAAGUUAUGUCUCGGGGUGAUAUACUUGUCAUCUUUAAGUACAUCUUCAACAUCUUCUUGUUGAAGAAGGAUCAGAGGUGUUAUGUGAAGUCCCCAAGGGAGAAAUAGAAAUUACAGGAAAACUUAGGUUAAUAUAAAGACUAUUUUAACCAUCAGAAGUGUGUGACAAUGGAAUGGAUAAUUCAGAUGGUACUGAAUCCCCACCACUGACCAUUUUCAAGAGUGGCAAACAACCAGUGGCGGGGAGGUAGUAGAGGUGAUUUGGCACUCCCAGUUGGAGACCUUAUGAUUUCCUGACAGCUAGUCUACAGUUCCCUGGGGAGGGUCCUUUAUUGGAGAAGGAAUCCUCUCCUCCCUCCAUCGAGUCUCUCAUUGUCCUUGGGAGAAGGUAAUUUCUUUGUCGGCAAAUUUGGGGAGAAUCUGAUUGUUCUCCACUUUGAAGAUCUUUCUGCUGACAGAAGACAUAUAUUUUCUGCUUCUCUCCAUCACAGGAUUGGGGUAGGACUGCAGGUGACAGCUCUGCCUGAGACUCACUGAGUCUUGUCAAAAUUAUGAGGUGUUAGCAAGCCCACCCAUAAUGUAAUGGUACAGUCACCACUGUUGUAGUGGCAUUAAAGAUAAUAUUUUGGUCUCCAGCUACUUGGCUCCAUUAUCUAUUUCUUAGAACGCUCUGAACUGGGUAUAGAAGAAGGGAUAGUAGACCUCCCCAAGACCCUAAGGUAGUUCAACUUCCUAAGGUUGGAACAAGAGUGGUCAAUGACCAUUUGCUUUCAGAUCUACUCCCUGCCCUUCUGCAUGCUACAUUUCCUAGACUCUUGCCAGGGUUAGUAAAUGGGAGCAACAGAGGGAGACUGCAGGAACAAAAAAGUGAGAAGCCAAGGUAUUUCUCCCUCUCUCAUCCUGAUUCAAUGGAUGUCUUCAGGGUGGCUGAACUUCCAGCAUGGCUCCAGCCUUUGCCAAAUAGCCUUGCCAUGUGGUUUCUGAUACAAGCACCUCCUGUCCUCGCUCCAGCCCUAAGGUCAUAGUGGCUUCCUACUGUUUGCUUCCCCUCCCUUUUUUGGUUUCUCAGCUCUUCCAGCACUCAUGCAACCAAUUUCUUGUAUUCCUGACCUCUGUUGUGAAUAUAUAAAGUCAUUUAUAUUUUCAUGAGUGGAUCCUGAAUGAUACAGAACAUAGUCUCCACUUAGGGAAUUUAUGUGGCUGAUUCCCUUGAGGGCAAGCUUCUUGAAGGUCCCCAUGUGAUUCACAAUUCCCUGAGGAUCCAUCCAAACCUCAGGUGCCUGAUCUCUAUGCCCCGGAGUGCUGGUAUCCCUGCAUGGUCUCCAUCUAUAGUCAAGGCGAGGGUGGAGUGUUAGCAGUCUGUGGCAUGGGCUUUACCUUGCCCCAAGAAGUCAGUCACUGGGUGCUCCUAUAGCAGGGGAGCUGAGGGUAUAACAGUCCAUCGUUGGAAGCGAUCUUUGACCUGAUUUGACUUUCCCAUAAUGGGGAGGGGCAAAAAUAUGUGCUCUCUGUCAGCAUGAAGAUCCUCAAAGUGAAGAACACUCAGAUCUUCUCCCAAACUCACCCAGCCUGUUCCAUUUGAUUGUCAGCUCCCCCUUCUCCACUCCUGACAGUUCACUUAGAUUCAGCUCAUCAAACCUUCCUGUAUCUUGGCUUGUGAGUGGUCUUGUCCAGACCAUCUGUUCCAUGUGCCCCUGCCCAAUGGGGCAGCUCUGGCUCUGGGGCUCCAGGAUCUUUAGUCUGUUUCCAUCCUUGACCACACCUGCAUAUGACAGGCCUUGUUAGAGACAGGUCUCUUGAGUCUCCACAGGUGCCUUGCAGCUGCCAGUGCCCAUCAGCGAGCUCCCCCUCUGUCCGAGGACACUGCCAGAAAUGCAGCAGGCAUCUGCACCUCUUUUCCACAGGCCUGGAAAUGGGCAAGCCUGGGGCUGCAGACGUGGAAGCAGGCGCCAUGGGAAAUCUGUCGUACCAGCUUCAUUCUGCGUCAUUGUCUGCCCAUGAGCAACCUUAAGAAGUUGAUUUAGAGUUUCUUGCCUGAAGAAAGAAGUGGAUGACUUAAUACACUCUGAGAUUAUUCCAUGAGCACCGUGAAAGGACCUAAGGGUAUCAGUCUACAAAUGAAUCUCUGUCAUAAUCAUCACUAUUGCCAUCCCUAUCUCUGUGAUGGUCAUAAACUCUAUCAUCGCCACCAUCACCUCCAUCACUACUCCCACCUCCAUCCUUAACACCCCCUCCUGUCGCUAUUACUGCCACUGCUCUGUGAUCACUAUCACUAUGAGCAUGAUUACGCAAAUCUACACUAGAAUAGCACCAACUAGCACAUGUCACACACCAUCCACUCCCCUCAUUACUCUUCUAUGAGGAUUUGGCUGGGCCAAGUACCAUAGGGCCAAGUACCCAGCUACAUGGAGGCUUUCACCAGAGACAAUCCUACCUACAUAGGAGCCCUGCACAGAGCAGCAACACAAAGCCAAGACACAAAGGAAAAAAGAGGUUAUUUCUGCAUGGGGCAUUUUGGUAGUGAGAGGAGAACUAAGUAAAGGGAUGGGAGGGGAAAUCAGCCACUGGAAAGGAAGCAGCCAGAGGAGGUAGCAGACCCCAUGCCUGGAGUUGGUGAAGGGACCCUGGGAACUACAUGGGGAAUCAGUCAGUGUGGCUGGAGUGUGGGAGAUAACAGUGGGUUGUACUGGCUGAUGCGCUCCUGCCUUUGGAUAGUCUGCUAACCACCCAAUUUCCCUAGAUGGGGGCAGGAUGGGGUGGUAAGAAAGAGGAAGGCAACCCCUGGAGUCUGGGAGCUGCUCUUGGUACCCUCCUGUUGAACAUAAACAAUUUCACAGGACAUCAACAUCAGACAAGGCCACCCAUGACCAUGACAGAUCAAGACAAAACCAACUCUAUUCUGCAAUCAUGUCUGAAUGCGGAAAGAGCAUGAGCAUUGUCCAGACCAUAAAAUGCCAAACACCCCUCCCCCAGCCAGUUACAGCUUUAGCCUUGUUCCAGGCUGCCCAGCCUAUACGAUUGAUACCCAAUCGUAGAAUAGUCCCUGCUUUCCAACAACACUCAAUCCUGGGCAAACCACUACCUCCUUGGAUCCUCCCCCAAAUCAUCUAACUCAAGCCCAAGUCCUAGAACUGCUUCUCUCCAGCUCUGUCCUCUUCCUGAGAUGCCCCACAGUCCCCCAGUGCAUGUUUUUCCUGACUGCAGCGAGUGAUAAACCCACUGCUCCCCUACUGCCACGUUGCUGGGGCCCUUUGGCUGAAGGGCACUGACAGAGAUGUGGGAGAACAUUACUUCUAGUGCCUCUGAAAAAGUUACUAUUGUUCCCCUCCAUAGGGGUCUUCCUUUCUCCUGGAAGGACAUAUGGAGUGAUCAGAGUGUGGUGCAGUCAGCCUGAGAAUCUCUUUCUGGGACCCAGCUUUUCCAGUCAAUCACCCUAAUAAGAGAACAUGAAAAUACUGGUCAACAGGCCAUCACAUUCCCCUGAGCUUCUUGGUGAAAUGCAGGAUACUGUACCUUACUCCCAGGGACCUCCACACAAAAGACAUGAAGUCCAUUAUUUUAACAAGUUCCUCAGAUGGAACUUGGAUAGCAAAGUUUGGGAACCUGUCACUCUGAGGGCCUUCAAGGUCACCAAAGACUCAAGAUUGGGGCUAACUAAAAAGCCUCUCACACCCUGGAAGCCAUAUAUUUCCUAGGUUCAAGCCCCUGUGGUGUUUCUAUCCCACUCUGGAAAGGCCACACAAUAUCAGGUCCCCCCUGCCUCCCUAGGCAUGACCCACAUCUUCUGUUAGAGGUUAAGGCACAAAACUGCUCAAUAACAUUCAAGGUAAAGGCAUCUGCCUCCAGCAAAAUGUGUCUCAAAGGGACUCACAUUUCAUAUCUUGAAGUGAAUGAAAAUGUUAAUCAAUAGAUCCAUCAUCUUGGCCCCUGUGUCUCUGAGCUGCAGAUGCAGAGAACACAAACCAAUAAUGGUAUUUAAAUACACACACAUGCACAUGCACAUACACACAUGUGCUUGAGCAUGCACAUACCCACACGUGUGCGUGCACACACACACACACACACACACACACACACACACACAGUUGUUCCCACAUGGGUUGAAUAGGCAAACAAAUCUCUUAUAGUCAAAGUCUUGCAUAGCCUCUGUACUCUCCCAUCCUGUCCUCACUGGCCCACUCUCUUCCAUGAGGACAGCCCUGGCCUGGUGAAGUCUCAGGGUCAGACCAUUUGCUUUGGAUACAUCCUUGGCUGCCCCACCCAAAGCUUAGACUCUGCUUUAUGGAGCCACAGGCCUAGGAACACCUCCUUUCUCAUUUCAUCUUUUUUCCACCCUGAGUCAUCUCCAGCAAUUUGGGCCCCAGGUCACAGCCUUGCAGCUCAGAGCUGAUGCUGGAGUGGUUUAGGACUAUGGGGCUUGGGACUGGGGGAUGCAUUUUGCAUGGAGAAGGACAUGACUUGGAGGGAUCCAGAGGGUGGAAAGUUAUGGCCCUCCAAAGUCAUACAUUGAAGCCCUAACCCUCAUGACCUUGGAAUGUGGCCGUCUCUGCAGAGAAGGCCUCUAAUGAGGUAAAUGUAUUAGGAUGGGGCCGUUAGGGCAGCACCUACCUAAUCUGAGUGGUGUCCUUAUAGGAAGAGGAGGUCAGACCAUACAGAGAGAUACCAGAGAGGGUGAACUGUGUCCCCCCCACCCUUUGACCUCUCUCCGCUUUUAUUCAUCUUCAGCAAUUUGGGCCCGGGCCACAGCUCUGCAGCUCAUACUUGGGUGGAGGAAAGCUACUUCACCACAGACGUGAAGUCUUGGUGGGGCAACGUCACAGUCAAACGUUGUCCAAGUAGCCAGAGUGUCCGUCAGUGUAGCUGCAUCCAACCAGUCACCCCUUAUGCAGUCACUGGCCUCCCACUCCUCCCUCUGCCAGCUGGCCCAGUGGUGAAUCAGACCCACAGAGCAGCAGGGCAGAGAUGGGCAGAGUUGGAGGUCCUGCAUGAACCCUGGCCCUGUCCAUUCUAAUUCUGCGAGGCUGGGCUAGUUAGGAGACUCUCUGAGCCUCAGUUUCCACACUGCCCAAAAGGGAAUACUACCAUCUCUAUCUCCACAGUGUUGCCACGAUAAUAAACAUUAAGUUCUCAGUGACACGGGCUCCUCUCUUGCAUCAUGCCAGGCUUGCCUGACACCGCCCAUGGCGGCACUGGGCUCUAUGCCAUGCCUUCUGCUCCUUCUCAGCCACCUUUCUCCUAUUCUUAUUGUCCUCACUGCAGACACCGCAGUGAGAGCUUUAUCUCCAUUCCUUGUUCCCUGGCUUCUGAAAGGUCCUCUGCCUCCCUCCCCACCCACAGCCUUAGAUGCUGGGUGCUGCUGUCUGGCCUAAUACCUAGCACACAUCAAGUCAGUACCAUUCACAGAGCAGUAGUAGCCACACACUUCCUUCUCUUCCAUCAGGGUGCACUCCUUGAAGACAGAGGCAAACUCUUUCCUCAUUACAUCUGCUCCAGACCCAGCUGCACUCAAUGAGCAUGCUCGGGGUUGGCUGGUAGCCUCUGAAGUACACCUAGACCUGGAAGGGACUGGUGGUUCCACGGGUGGCAAUGCUCCAUUCGGCGUGGGCAUUCAUGGCCUUUGUUUUCAGCCUGACUCUUAACUCCUGAUCCUAACACUCCUGAGCACCUCAGUUUAUUAAGAGAAAAUGGAGAGUUGGAGUAGUCUAGAGGUGAAGAUGACCUUAGUCUGUUAUUCAAGUAUUUCCAACCUGUACUUGGAGAGGAGGCACGCGGACACUUGCAGGUGACUGUUUCCAUUUGCCUGUGCUUGGGUGAAGGUGCCACUGCUGCCUUUCGCACUUAUUCCACCCCCACCUCCCACCUGGACUGGAAGAACACGUGCAUCUUGGAUGCAGGAAAGUAAGGAGGAGUGUGAUUAUGUGGGGACUCCUGAAUGAUUUCCCUAAAAGAGCGGGAUUAAAGGGAGGGACCUGGUCACCAGAUUGGAAACUAUGAGAACCCCUCCUCUUUCUCAGUCUUGAUAAAGCAGCUUGGAGGGGCUUAUUACUGUGAGCAGGAAAGAUCCCUGCUCUGCCUUCUCAUUUAUGCUGCAUGACUGCAAGCAGCUGCUUUACUCCUCUGAGCCUCAGUUUCUUCAUCUGGAAAAUGGGGUUGCUAUGGGGAUGGUGCAUGGUAACUCAUGAAAGUAGCUGAGGUCUUCAAUAAAUGGUAGUCAAAGCUGGCGAAGUCCUUCAGUUUUUCAAGGCAAGGAAGAAAAGACCUCCUACAGCCACCACCUCUGUGCCAGGGCACAGAUCUUCAGUAUAUCAGAGACUCUUCCUUGCCUCCCCACCCUCCACCCUGCCCAGCAGGUCCCAAUGGUGGUUCUGGGUUGGUGCCCUGCAGUUUGCUGAACCCUGCAGUUUUGACAGGCAGCCCCAGGAACCCAGAGGAUCUGAAUGGAAAGCGCCUAAUUAAUUACUGCUGUAAUAGUUCCAACAACAGCAGCCCUGCCGUGCUGGGCUACGGGUGUCGUUUUCAGCUUCCUGUGCACAUUCACCCCACAACUUCUACCCCAGGCUGCCUGACUGGGGUAAAAUAAGACCUGGAGAGGGACAAUUGAAGUCCUCUGGCUUCCAGAGAUAUGGAUACAUCCCAUUUGGCCUUCCUCCUAUGGCUCUGUGUUUCUGAGCUCUUCCCCUGCUAAGAACCCCAAUGCAAACAGGAAUCUUAUGCACACUGCAGUGAGGACUGAGGAAAAGCAGUGCAUUCAGAGCGAGGAAACCAGGAGUCUGUGCUACCCUUAUGUGCUGUGUGCCCAGGGUAAGCCUCUUUACCUUUCUAAGCCUCAGUUUCUUUAUCUGUGAAAUGGGGAUGGUAGGCCCAUCCUGGCUAGCACAUAGGACUGAAGUGUAUUACUUAAUAAAUGUGAAUUGCUUUAGAUGCUAUACCAAACAAUGAAUGCCUGGAGGUCCCAUUCCACUUCUUGGAAGGUCCCUGCCUGCACAAUGGAUGGAGACAAAGUGCCUUCUGGCUCCUCCCUGUGGACCUUUCUGAGCAAUACAUCACCCCAGCUGUGCCCACAUUAUCUUGAUGGAUGAGUCUAAGGUGGAGGUUCCUAUGGAUGGGGCAAUGGAGGCUUGGGAGGCAGGGCUGCCUGGUUUCAUCAUGGGAACCCAAACUGUAUAAGCCCCAUAUCAAGGAGAACAGGAUGCUCCAGCCUCAGAGAAGUUUCCAUGAUUCACUGCACCUGACUCUCACCCCCAACCCCACAAUCAGACCUGAGCCUUAUGGGCAGAGACCAUUUUGAGGACUGAGAGAAUAUCCCCAAUUACCUGGAGAUCCUACUGUAGCUGAGGGCCCUUCUACUUUGGGAAACAUGGUCCACUUUGUGAGCCUCCUGGUCCAGGUGGAAAGUCUCCAAGUUCAGGAGAUCUUCACCAGAGUCCAGAGCAGAAGUAGCUAGAGACACCUGCCAAGUGGUUGUAGACAAAUGGUCCUUCGAAGUGGGGCAGCUGCCAGGGGAUGGGUAUCUGGGAGGGUCUGUGCCCUCACCCUGUGAGCCCCUCCAGGGAGAAUCAGCUCCACACCCACUUCCUGAGUGAUGAAUAUAAGCAGAAGCAUCCUCUCCAGAUAUGAGUAGCUGGGGAUCAGGCGACACCUUUGUGGAAUCUGCAAAAGGCACGCCUUAACUCCAUGACUCAGUUGAUUUCCUUGGGGCACAUUUUCCCCCUGAAUGGUCUUCCCAACAUCUUCAGGCCUUGGCAUUCCCUUUUGAGAAGAGUCUCCGGGUCUCCCUUUGCCCUGAGAACAGAAAGCUUGAAGGCAAAAUGAUGAUCAAUACAAUAAGACCCCUUUCAAGCAAAGGUACCAGGAAAAUGAAUCCAUCCCUCCUUUUUGCAGGGAGAACUAACAUUUUUACAAUGUUUACCAUCUGCCUGGCUCUGUCCUACUGGCUCUUCAUAUAUUACCCAUAUCAGUCCUAUGAGGUAGGCACUGUUAAUGUCUCCAUCUUACAGAUGGGGAAAUUAAGGCCCAGAAAAGUUAAGAGACUUUCCCAAGGUCCCACAUCUACUAAGUAGUAGCUGGCAUUCGAACCCAAAUAGCCUGACUCUUGAAUCUGGGCUCUUAAACUCCAGCUCUUCUAUCUCUUGCUGUCCUGGCCAUGUUCUCGCUACUUCUAUGUCCAUCUUUCAUCCUGGACUGUGAGCUCAUGGGCCAGGAAUCUGGUUUAUUCUUCUUUGUCCCCUCCAACUCCAGGCAUAACCCCUGGAGCAUACUAGAUGUCCAGGAACCAUUUGUUCAUAAGUAAAUGAAUAAAUGGCAUGGUGACAGGUGCCAAUGAAAAGAUAUUUGGAGUCUAGAUCAAGGGGGAUCCCAAAUGCCUGGCAUUUGUGUAGACAGUAGAGAUCUCAAGAAGGACAGUCCCUGCUGGGUUGUGCUUACUCUGUUAACACUGUUUGGACACAUGCUUAUUGGAGUCACGAGACAUAGCGGCGUUAACCUGGGAUCCAACUACAAUUUUUGCAUUUUUAGAACCUUUACCACCAAUGUACCAUGGGAAAGGAUGUAUUUAGGGCCAAAUGAGGCUCAUGCACCACCUAUCCUUCCCACCUCAUCCCCCACCAUCAUCAGAAUAUUGUGAGACCCAUUCUGCUUUGUAUUGUUCUCAUGAACACUAAUAUUAUUACUAAUACCUAACCAUAAUUUUCCCCUGGAAGAAAAGUUACUUCACACACUGUGGCUGGAACACUACAUGUUCUAGAAGGGACUGGAACAAGCAGGGGGUGUUGUACGAGGUUCACAGUUGGUGAGGAAGGAGGAGACCCCUUUUCCUCAAGAAAUCCUCCUCUUCACCAAGUCCUAGGGUGGGUGUGAGGCUUCCAGAAGGGGAGGUCUUCAGCCUGGGAAGCAGUAAGGGAGGGAGCUGGGGGGAGGUGGAGAUGCCCUCCUGGUUGUAGGAGAAAGGGGAUAAAUAUCCAAGGUGGCAUGUCGUGGUGGGGAGACAGGCAGGCUUACAUUGUAAGAAAUAAUGAGUUAAAAGAAUCAUUCAGUGAGUAAAGAGAAAUAUCAAGAAUCAAAUUGCAGGGAAGAUUUCAAGUAAUCAUAAAGGGUUUUUCAAAUAUAUUCACUGCUAAGAGCUACAGAUGUCAGGGGAGAAAAUUGGUUCACUUACCAAUAAUAGUCGCAGAGGCUGGGGGAGCAGGAUGCAGACAGGGAAAGUACUUAACCAGGCUUCCUCACCUCCUUCUCUCCUGGGACGCUUGGGGAUGGGGGAGGGAGUGGCCUGUCCCUUCACUGAGAAGGGUGGCUGCAGGGGUGUUAGGCAGGUGAGCAGAGCAGGCUGGGCAGGAGGAGUGGCUCAGACAUGGUGGCCCCAGCAGCCCUGCUCCAAUGUGACUUCCUCUUCCCCUCCCCAACCCAUGCGCAGAUUACGUGAGGUGAGGACAGGUGCCAUGUUUGGCAUUGAGUAGGAGGCUUGUUGUUAUUGUCACCAAGAAUUUAUUGAUGGUUUAUGAUGAGCAGAGCAGUCUGCCAGGUGUAUGAAAGAUUGGAGCCAUAGGCACAUGGUACCUGCCCUGCCUUUACAACCUAGUUAGGGAGACAAGAGCCACAUCCAAGGGAAAACGGGAAAGAUCAUCAGCACCACGCAGGGAGAUAUGGACAUAUCGUGCUGAAGGGGGUGUUUAAGUGGUCAUCACAGGCAGACCAAUCAGGGGGAGCUUCAGGGGCACUCGAUGAUGACGCUGUCCACCUAUGUUCUGCCAUGAUGCUGCCUCCCCCUUUUAGGAUCCCUCUUCGUACAGCAGGAUAUGGUAUCAGUCACACACUUCAACCUGCCAAGAGAAAGGCCAGGGCAAUGCUGCCAUCAGGAACAACCCAGGGCAGUGGGUUGAAGCUGACUCAAAUGUCUCUGAGUGCAGAGGUGGUGUUAUUGGUCAUUCUCACAAACAUCAAGGACAAAUGUCAUCUCACUUUGUCUAAUGUAAUUCUCAUACCAGUUUCCUGAACCCCAGUUCCCACAGGGCGAUGUGAAGAGGACCAGGUGAUCCCUGUAUACCCAGUGGGUUAUGUUACAGGAGAGAAACCUGUGUUGGCGAACCCGAAUCUUUUAUCAUGGACAGUAACCAUGCCUGUCCUUUGCUCCAGAAGAGAUAAUAAUUGUACAAAACUGGACAGUAAGUAUGUCUGCCUCUGUUGCAUCAGGAGAUACUGUCUCUAGCUCCCAGGAAUGUUUGUUACACAAACAGCCUUGAAAAGAUAAUCAAGAACAAGAGGCAAUCAGUUUCUCACUUGCAAGAUAUACAGAAAUGCAAGACCCAUGGAUAACUAUCUUUGGACAUUAACAAACUAUGGAAUGCAUUUAUUUAUUAUAAUUAGUAUUAUGUUUGUCUUUUCCUGCUAGAAUGGCUAUCUCUUUUGUUUACUGAUGUAUCAAUAAUUAGAAAAGUGUUCCAUACAUAAUAGGUGCUCAAAAUGUGUUGGUUAAAUGAAUAAAUGAUUACAUGAGGAAGGAGAAAGUCCCUGCUUGGUAUCUCCCGUCCAGGAAAUUUCUUUGCCAAAUUGCCAGCAUUCUGUGAGGAGAAGGAAACUCGGUUCUGAAAAAGUAGCCUUGUCCUGUGUGCAUUGAAUUGGCAUGGGUCACAUGUCUCCCCUAUGUGUUCCCCGUGUCUCUCUGUUGCUGGCACCCAGGAGGCAGGGAAGGCUCUCAGGGAAGAGCCAGCUGGUUGUGACUUUAUUUCUGCAGCAGGGAAUGUCCGUGCAUCACCAGGCCCCAGGCAUCUCUCCUGGGCCUCCCUUCCUCUUCCCUGCCUUUCUCAGACUGGUAAUUAAAAGUAUCAAAGCAAAGUAGGGCUGUCUCAUUACAUGUCCUGUUUAUGUGACUCUAAUGUGCUUAGAGAUGAUUUGAAGCCUGCAGAAAUCAGCCUCAGAGCUUCCUACUCGUCCAGCCUGGAGCUGGCAACCUAGAGAUAAGGGUAUCAAGACGGGGCUGUGAAUUAGUUCUAAAGUAAACCAAUAACGCAUUAAUGUGGGUGAGGAAUUAAAAAUAAGAGAGAUGCUGCACAUUUCUCUGAUUAAUUAGCCGUUCUAGUUAAUUUUGCUUCUUGUAGAGACAAAUCACAGGACCCUAAUAGGGGAGCAAUUUCCUAUUGGUCACUGGGGCACCAGCAUGGGGCUACAAGCUUCAGUUCUCUCAGGCCCGCAGGGACCACAAGCAGUGAGGCUCCAUCAAGGAGGCCACUAUGGCCACUUGGGAAUUUUUCUUCACUUCCUGAUUCUCUCCUCAACCCAGCAGGAGUACACAGAGUAGAGGGAAGGAUAGGGAUUGGGACCAACAGGCCUACAGUGCCCCAUUCAGGAGUGUUUGGUGACUCCUAAGGACAGGAGGCUGAGAGGGGGGAUGGUGAGCUGUUGGGACUGUGCCAUUCAUCUGGGGUUUAUCACACAACGCCCUGGAGUCUUGCCAUUUCAUCCACUCAUUCAUUCACUCACUCAUUCAUUCAUGCAUGCACUCAACUGUGGAGGUUUUAUUGUUGUCGUUUUUGGUUUGUGUUUGUUUGUUUUCUAACCUCUUCCACAUAGGAGACUUUUGUUAGUCCCAAGGAUGCCAAAAUGAAAGAAUUACAACAGACAAUCUCUGUGAGGAGGAAUUCCUAGCCUGGGACUAGCACAGACCUGUUCUUGCUGUGAGAUGGCCUCUGCCCCUGUCACAGGCAUUUUGGAGGUUAAGAUACAAGCAGGGAGGGAGGUGGGCAGUCUUCACCCAGACGCCACACCUACAGGUUCUUGUCUGCAUGCUCUCACCACUGCCUGGAUCUGGACAUGGUGGAAAUGGUUUGUGAUCUUUUUUGUUUCUUUCUUUUUGUUUGUGUGUAGAACAGGAAGGCUGUUUCUUUCCAGGCAGGAAACUUCCAUAGGCUCCAGACCUUGGCUAACUGGGCUGGGGCUUUGGAUACCAUUUUUGUAGUCUACUCAGCCACAGACUUGCCAAUGGUCCAGGAUAAGUUCUUGCCCUAGUCCCAGACACCUGUUUCCCACCUUGCUUUUGCCUCCACAUAUAACCCCUUCCCCAAGAAAGCUUCCUCCCUAUGGCCAUGACAGUGAAUGAGACUCCAACUGGUCGCAGAAGAUGUAUAAGGGUCUCAGGCUCCCUGUGGCUCAUAUGGAGAAGGCAGGGAAGGGAGGGUUCUCAGGGAAGUGAGUGUGGACAAUAGGAACACCUGCCCAGGAUCUAACUCAGAGCCAUUAGGGGCCAGAAUGUGGAAUGGAGAGGGUUUAUUCAGCCUCUUCCAACUUUUCCAGGCUGGAUUACAGGUCUAGGGGUGUCAGAUCUUGCAUAUUUUCUGAAGUCAACUCAAAUUUUUAUGUGAAAAAAAAUCUCUUGAUUUUAAAAUGCUGGACUUGAAUUUAAAAUAUUUGAACACUGCUAUGUAGGCAAACAAAAUAUGCCUGGGGACUAGAUUCAGUCCUUGGAUGUGACAGUUAGAAUUAAGUUUAUCCAGUAGUAACAGAAAACAAACAAAUAAACAAGUAACAGUGGCUUAAAUAACAUAGAUAUUUCUCUGUCACUUCUAAGAAAUGCAGAAGGAGUCAGUCAAUUCUAGACUGCUAAAGUGUUACGUGGUAUCCAGGCUCCUCCUAUCCUGUUCCUCUAUUUCAUGGUCUCUAUCCCAGCAUGACCUCAUGGUCCAAGAUGGCUGCUGGAUCCCCAUCCAUUAGUUCUGCCUUCCAGACAGCAGGUCAAAGGAAGGGCGGAUGAUCAUGUUUCCUUCCUUUUGACGACAUCUUCCAGAAGUUGCACACUUUAUUUCUUCUCCUAUCCCAUUCAUCAAAAAUCAGUUAUAUAGUUCAACCUAGUUGCAGUAAAGGCCAGGAAAAAUUGUCAUUCUAAAUUUAAGAUAGUUAUGUGCCUGAUUUUAAAAGUACUAAUGGAAUGAGGAAAUGGGAGAGUGGAUUUUAAGUGACAGCUGGCAGUCUUGGCCCCAGUUUGCCUUCAUUUUGAGAGCUGGUUGACCCAGGCUGCUCUUUGUGGUGGGUUUGGGGAGGAGGUCAUGGGAUCUGGUCACUUGGAGACUGCCCAGUGAAAGGACAUGGUUGCUUUGGAGAAGGGUUUGCUCUCAGGUAAGGGACUCUGGUAGGGCAAUCUCUGCCAGAGUGAUUUGGCCACACUGGAAGUGGGGCUCCAGUGACUUUUGGGGGUUAUUUCUUUCUUGAUGUCUUGCAGGAGCAAGACUUCUCUUUUCCCCACAAGUGUCUCUCAGUCACCAAGAGUCAAUAUUCAGGCAACAUCCCCAGGACUGUCAGCCAUAGCUUGGCAGGGCAGGAGUGAUGCCUUAAGUCAGCUCCUGGGUCUCCAGAAAAAGGUAGGAUGUCACCAAUUUUUUCUCACCGUAGAGUGGUGGAAGGACCUUCAAUUGCACUGAGAGUAAAUUCAGGUUAGACAACCAGGAUCUCUUAACUGAGUCACAGAAGAUAUAGGGAGCACCUGAUACUUCCUCAAGUCAGUGAGUCAGUUUACUCCAGUUCCUCCUGGACCAGUCCCUGGGCACUUCCUUCAGGACACCUCAAUUUCCUCUUUUGCAUAUUAAGCAUAUGAAUGCUUAGCUUGCAGGAUUGUUACCAUGGUUGUGACUUGAAAGCACAUCUGUAAAAUCUGUGGCAUGCCUCUGUUCAAGAGGUAGAGUCUCACUUUCUCCCCUUGGCUAUGCACUGACCUCAGUGACCUGCUUCUAGUGAAAUAAAUGUGGCAGAAGUGGGGCUGCCUGACUUCCAGGGCUAGGUCAUAAAAAGCAAUAUACCUUUCUCUCUCUCUCUCUCUCUCAUUUCUCAGUCAUGUGCUCUUGGAACCCAGACACCAUGCAUGCUGUGGGGAAGCCAAGGACAUGAAGAGGCCACAUGUGAGCGUGCCCUCUGUCAGCCUCAGUUGAGGCCUGAUGAUGACCAACAAUGACCACCAGAUGUGUGGAUGAGAAGCCUUUGAGAUGACUCCAUCUGACUUUAUCACUCGCUGUGGACAAAACCCUGAGUAAGAGCUACCCAACUAAACCCCGUCAACCCUGAGAUUCAUGAGAAAGGUAAAUAACUGGAAUUGUUCAAGGCCAUUGUUUGGGGGUGGCUUGUAGAUAAUGGGAACAGUGUUAAAUGAAACAGCUUUGUACCCAGUGCCUCACACGAUGCCUGGAACACAGUCGAUCUGCCAUAAUACAUAGCUCUUCUGGUGUUUUAUCUGGUGCCCUGGGUUCGGGGCUGUGCCCAGAGGGCUGGUGUGCACACACUCAUGGGAAUCCCUGACUGACACCUGGUGUCCUGAAGAUGCUGUGGUAUAGGAAGGAGCAGGAUAGAGAAGGUGGGGGAGAGAAUCAAAGAAAACACACACAGGAGCUAGCUCUGGCUGGCAAUCCACAGGCAUGGUGCUAGGCACUCUACAGCACCGACCUCAUAGCCAGCCCCUAAGAUGGGCCUCGCCCCAUUCUGCAGCUGAGAAAACUGAGGCUGGGAUAUGUGCUUUGGGGUCCAUUCCACGACCCUGGAGCCCAACAGCAUGGGCGCCGGACAGUGCGCAGUCUGCCUGUGCCCUCCCCCCACCGUCCCUCCCUUUCUACCCACUCCCCCACCAUGCGCUCCUCUUACUCUCAGCCAAUCAAUAAACAAGUCAUUACCAUGGCCCCCAAGGUGCUUAUCAGCACUGCAGUGCCAGGAAGUGCUUCCCCGUGUCUCGCAUCUGUCUCUGCUGCUGAAAUUUCCUUAGUUUGUUGGAGACCAGGAAUGUGGGCUUGCUUUCCUCCUUUAUUUAAUAAAGCUCCAGGGACCUAAUAAUUCUUGCUAAGUUCCUCCCUGCUCCCCGCCUGCUCUCAGCAACCCAUGCCCCAACUCCUCUGAUGGAAGAGCAGGCCACCCCCCGCCGGCCUCCCUUGGACUUUCUCUUCUGGGACCCACCGAUCAGAUCAUGAGUGCUUCGACCAGGGCAAUAUUAUCCUUAUGGGGACACAAAUGGGCUCUUCAGGGGGAGAGGGGGGAGUCAUCUCAGCUGUUACAAUGUUGUGUGGCCCCCACAGAUGCAGAGUAAAACUGUGGUGUUAAUUACGGGGUUUCUGCCAUACUGCUCCAGGACAAUAAUGAAGAAAAAGAUGGCAAAACAGUGAUCUAGAGCCCUCACCCCACAAGGUUCGGGUGCCGUUGGCUCUUUCUGGGGUAACGGUGGCAUGGGCUGGGGCCUCCUGGAGCCAGGGGAGAAAGUCCUGUGGCUCCAAUUCCCUUGUCCCACAAUGGUCUCUGGGGAGGGGCGAGGCGACCACACAGGUGCCAGCUGAGAGGCAGGGACUGGUGCGUCUCCUUCUCCAGGACUCCAGCUCCUAGCACUUGCUUCUCAUGUCAGAGUGCCCAAAGCAGUGUUUUCUUUAGAAAAUCAAUAAUGAUUGAUUAUUUAUUCUGCUGGAAAUAAAUAGAUCUGGUCACCAGGGUCAGAGAUUAACUUGAAGCUCUGGGCUGCAGCUGGGAAUUCGGGCGUCUGUGUUUGAGAGAUUCCUCCCUCUCACGUUUCCACCCCACCUCUGGCACCAGGGCCAGCACGGGUCAGGGGGUGACAGAGCCUUCUCCACCAGAGGGACAGCCGCCGCCCCCACUGCAGUCCGCAUCCUUCAUCCAAUAGGAAGAGAUGACAGACGGGCCCCUCUCCUGGUCUCUGCGUGUGGAGUUGGCAGGUGGGGAGGGGCCAAGUGUGGGCAGUGAGCCCAACCUCUGUGUGCUGUGUGCUGUGUCCACUGGCACAUGUGUGGCUAGGUGUGCAUUUUCUUACAGGUGUCUCGUGGCCGUGUGUCUGUCUGCUGAGCUCCUUCUCUGGGUUGUUACACGGUCUGACGGUGGUGAAAUGCCAGGCAGGGCGAUCUGCAUGCCAAGCGUGGGCUGCCCUAUUACCUUAGGAGAGAGGGUUGGUUUUUAUGGGAGCAAAUUAACUCUUUUUUAAAGGUGUUUAAAACAUCUCAACUCUUUUAGAUUCUCUAAACAUUUCGGGCAGGGAGGAGCACAGGGCCUGGGGGCUGGGGAUGGCUGCUUAUGUGGGAUGUGGACUUGUCCCAGCACAGUAGGGGCGGGCAGUGGGACAAGGGUGGGGUUGUGGCAGACAGGGCUUGAGGUUGAGGAAGCAGCAAGGGCAGGCAUCUAGGAUGGCAGGGGGUAGUGGGACCAGCGAGAGAGACCGAGGGUUGAGAGGAAGGUGUGGUUGGGACUGGAAUCCCAGCUCUGCCACUGAGCCAUCUGGUUUUGUCUGCCUGGAAAAGCACAGGAGAAGACACACAACUAGUGCUCCGGACAGCGGUUGGCUGGCCCGCAGGAGGGCCUCAGGGAAAUGGUGCUGGAGCGCUAAAUGGGUGAGCUCCAGGUCCCCAAAGCAGGCUCUGCCUUGGGUCUGAGACCAGCUACUGGUCCUUCUCGAGUCCUGAAUGUGAGAGAUGCCCGGGCCCAUGCGUGUGCUAAGGCCCUGUCUGGCCAACACACCUGGCACCUCAGCCCCACUGUGGUAGCCACAAUCCAAGCACAGCCAGCCAGACGUGUGAGGCAUUUUACACAUGUUAUGCUUUUGAGGUCCUCACACAAGCUCCAGGAGCAUCUCUCUGAACCCCACUUUUCUCAUCUGUAAAAUAGGUCGAGCUAGGGACCCUGGCUGCAUAUGUAUAGAUAGCUCUUAGGGCAACACCUGGCCCAUGUGGGCACUAAGUCAAUGCUACCGAUAACCAUUGUUCCCAUUUUACAGGUGACCAAAUCAAGGCAUGGAGAGAACAAGCAAGUUGCCCAACGGCACAUGGGCAGUGCAUAGCAGCCCCAGGAUUUGGCCCUGGAUCUCCAACUCCAGGGCCUGCGUCCUUCCUUCUAUUAGCAUUUAUCUUGCUUUUGCCAGAAACCGGCCAGCGACCAGAAGCCUACUCUUUUCGCCUGCUGGUGGGCUGAGCCUUAUCCCUGCCGAGCUGGCUGUCAGACCCCCUGAUACUGACUUCCAGCCCACCUGCUCACUCAGAUUCCCAGGUCCUCUGUCCCCUUAUCACCACUCCCUUCCUGCUACUGAUCUUGUCAUCCUUCCUGGAGGAGUCCCUGCCUGCCUGCCUUACUCCUGCCAUGGCAACAGAAACCCAGAAAAAGCUGAGAUUAUCGUCUCCACUUAGGCUGUCCCCCAAACUGCUGUGGUCUGGGGAGGCAACGACUAUGGCCUAAGGUCAAGGGCAACAAACUGCCAGAUCUGAUAUCCGAAGAGAACCUAAGAGGUGUGUUUAUCCAGGAUUCCUCUGCAGUCAGAGAAUCAUAUUGGAGGCUCUAUUUCUUCACUUGAUUUGUCUUCAAGUUGCAGAGCCUGUGGUAUGUGGUGUCCCUUUGCAGAACCCCUUGGCAAGCAUUUUCCCAGAGUGAGUCACCUCUUCUCAGAGCACUGCGAGACAGGUUCGUGCAGCCCUCCUCUUGCAUGAAACCUUCUUGGAUUGCCUCUGGUGGUGGGCCUGAUGCCUCCCUGAUGAUCUAGAUGUGGUCCCUGUGGCUCUCUUCCCUUUCUUCCUCAUCUCUUAGUCCUGCCUCUCACUUGGUGAUCUCUGAGAAAAGCUCACAUUUGCACAAUCAUGUACAGUUGUAGUAAACAUGUGCAUGUGCAUUCUUACUUUCAAUCCCCACAACAACCCUAUGACCCAGGAAUAAGUUUAUACAAGAAAGCAAAGCCUGAAGAAAUUAAGCACCUAGCUCAUGGGGUGGGCUUAGAGCCAGGUGGAAAUCGAAUUCAAGCCCUCUGAGUCCCGCAAUAGCUGUAAAAACAAUAAGUUACACUUAGGUACAAUUCACUGUAGGCGAAGCACUGUUCCAUUAUCUCAUUAAAUCCUCACAGCUAAUGUAGGAGGUAGGUUGCUAUUAUUGGUUCCAUUUUAUGGUUAAGAAAACUGAGGCACAGUGAGGUUAAGUGAGCGUCCCAGGUUGUCACAGCUUGUUGGCUCUGGAGCCAGGAUUCAAACCCAGGCCAUCUGAUGCCAGACAUCAUGGGCAUAACCACCAUGCUACACUCCAAACCUGGUGAACCUACCAUUCCAACUUAUGGGGGACUCUGUUUCUCCAUCACCAACCAUUUAAUCCCUAAAGCCGGGAACAAAAGUCUCCCUGCCCUAGGCUGCGUGUUGUGAGUUAUUCACUACCAGUUGGCUCACAUUCCAGGCCUCCCAGGACUUAUCUCUUAACCCCACAGUCCACUUCCAUUCAGAUCUUUGAUGCAUUCAGUGAUGUAUUCUUGUACAAAAGACAUGGGCAAGAAUAUAAUCGAUGUGACCCAGAUGUCAGUAUGCCAUGCGGCCAAGAAACCCAUUCCUGAAGUCCCAAUGUUACCCCAACUCAGAUCGGGGGGCCUCGGAAGGACACCAUCAUCAUCGUCAGAAACACUCAAGAGCUCCUUACCACCCUUAGCUUGGCCUAAGAGGACCCUCAUGGCUUCCACCUUGACCUCAGUCCAGAGAGCUUCAGCCCUGCCCCAAUGACUUGACCAGUGGUCUCUGCUUACCCAAACCCAGGAAUCGGGUGUGUUGAGGCUGUGCCCAGUCUACCUGGCAGGGCAGGGAGACCCCUGCCACCCCACAUGGGGGACGAGGGGGUGACAGAGACCUUGAAGAAGGUCUGGUCAUAGCAGGGUCUGAUACCUUUGACAUGGAAUUGCCACCCUGUUCGGAAGACUCUCUGAAGUCCAACUGUGCUCCCGAAAUAGGAAAGGUGGGGACACUUGCAAAGGAACUCCAGGGAGGGGAGGCAGUGGUGGCGAGGCCACCUGACACUUCCCUCUGUCUUUGCCUAGCCUCUGGACCUGCUCCAGAUCACCUCUCCUGGCGUGUGCUUUCCCUCGCUCCUCGCUCUCAGAGCUGGACACGCACAGGAAGUCCGAGCCAGUGUCCACUCUUCAAGGUCAGCCUGAAGGGCAAGUUGAGCCCUGGGAGGCUGGCGGGGUCUCUCCCGGCAUCCCUCCCCCUCCAACUUCUUCCUGAGCGGCCGGGUUUUGGCUGGCGCCUUCCCUCACCAGCCUUUCAGCUUGUUGAGAAGAAUGAGCUGCUUGAAGGACACUUUACAACUCCAUAAAUAAUCAGGAUGUGGAGCACACAGGAUGGGAGUCCACACUCUCCGAGUGGGUGGAGGCGGCUGGGCGCUGGCUCUGAUUCUCAUCCCAGGGCCCAUUGCCCCAGCACCUUUUCCUCCACGGAGCUGCUUGUAGCUCACCGGGAGGGGGGGUGGUGGUUGUCAGCACCUCCUCCCACCCCUGGCUGAUUUUCCUCCUGGAGGAGUGGAGGCCAGUGAACAGCAGAGCGCUUGCUGCCCAAUGAGAGCCAGAGGUCCAGGCCGAGUGGGGAAGCAGCCACUUUAGAGAGUUUUUCUGCAGACGCAGAGAGGGAUGCCCAGGAAUCGAUCCCUUCUGAAGAUGAAUCACAGUGAGAUGCACAAAGAAAACCCCUUUGGUCUGAAAAGGCAGAUAAUGUUCCUGACAGGGCCUCUACUCUGUGUCAAUUUGUUGUGAUUGGUGGGAGGAAGCCGGGGGUGUCAGGAAGGAGAGGGUGCUACAGAGAGCUGGACGGCACCAGAGAUGCAUGUGGAAAGAGAGACACCGAGGCUGUGAUAGGGAGACAGAGAGAGCCGGAGAAGCAGAAAACAGAAAAAACGGGACAGCUGUUAGGAGAUUCAGAAUGGAGGGCAGAGGUGUUUUCUUAGAUUUUUGGUGAGGAGGGUGGGGGUUACUGGGCGCUGGGAGACUCUCAAAUGUUUAGCCGGCAUUCAGGUCACAUUAGGCUCGUGUUCAUUGCUAACAUUUAACUCAAACCAUUGGUCAGCUCCCAGUUACCAGUGAUAGCAUGUAGCUUCUCCAUGGGUCCAAGGGGGUCGCCCUGCUAUUACAGAUAUUUGUGUGGGUCGGGGAGAGACAGGGGCAGGCAGAGAAAGAGAUUCAUGUUGCAUCUGAGGGCCAGCCAAAGUUUGAUUUAUCUUUUCCUUUAGAAUUAGCAAUGCUUGCCUAUCUUGUUCAGGUAAUUAAGAGGUAACUGUGGGGAACUCAUGGAAUGUCUGCCUAUCCUCGAUGUAAGACAAAAUCAGGCUUUUUCUAAUUAUAAUCUUAGAGCUGGAGAAUCUCAGAAUGUGGUUCAGCAGGGUUGGGCAGAAACCCCACGUCUUCCAGCUCAGCCCUUCCAUUGCAUGGAUGGAAGGACGGAGGCACAGAGAGCCACGGGUGCCCUCUGCUUCCACCUGCUCGGGUGAGCAGACAAAAGUGCCCAUGGCCCUCCAGGGACAGAGGCAGAGCAUCCCCAUGGCAGGGCUUUGUCAAUUCCAAAUCCUCCUCUCUUCUGCCUCCCGCUGACUGGUGCUAAUGUUUUUUAUUUCUAGCCCCUCCCAGACCCUGCAGGGUGUCUGAGGAGCGGACCCCAGAGACCGAUGAAGAAAAGCAUCCAUCUUUAACAUUUAUACAAACUGUCUUCUCCUUGGUGCUUUUGGAAGUGUCCCAUCAGACUUGGGGAAAGGGUGGAAGAAAUACAUUGAGAGGCCAGCUUGUGAGGCAGGUCCUCUGGAGACCCGGGAAGGUAGAGUGGCUAUUUCUGUGACCAUGUCAGGAAGCCCAUGGCCCCUGCAGUGCUGGUUCUUAACCAUGGGCAAUUUUAGUGAUGCCUGGAGACGUUCCUGGAUGUCACACUGGGAGGUGCUAUAGGCAUCUAGUGGGUAGGGAAGAGUGAUGUUAAAUGCCCCACAAUGUAGGAUCAGCCUCUGCAACAAAGAAUGCUUCUACCCUAAACGUCCCCUCUGUCUCUCUCUGCUCAUUUGACAGCAUGACCUUUCCAAAAAGAGGAGACUCAUUUUUUAGUGGUGCACCAGGAGCUGACUUGCCUGCCAGAACCCCAGACUAGUUCUCCAAGGUCAUUUGUAGGAGACAUGUUCACUAACCAGGGUGGCUUUCUGUGAGGAUCUUCCCUUUGUCCUGAGCACAGGAGGGAGGAGGGAGAGAGGUCAACCCAGUGUCCUGUCCUCUUAUCUUCUUUCCUUGUCAUCCUUACCUUUUAUGGUCUUACCCUCAUCCUCCUCCUUAUCCAUGUUCCUCUGUUCCAGCUCCUUCUGGUCUAGGUCCUGGCCAGGUGUCCUCUGAUUUUCCUGAUGCCUCUCCUGCCCAAAGCUAAAUAUUGUGCAGAACAAAGCAAAAGGUGUCAUCUUAUCUCCUUGGAACUUGUAGGCAAUUGCCACCAGCCUCACACCCUACAGAUUGGUGUAUUGUGUCCAGGUGUUGAGAUCCUGCAGAAAUCAGCCCAUGGCCCAGGGUCCCCAGCACAUCCCCCCGGCUCCAGAGCAUAACCCCAGGGUGGCCUCAUCGCACUGACCUUUCCCUGACCACUCCACCUGUUGACAGGUAAGGGACUCAAGCAACUGCUUAAGGAUGCUGCUAGAACAGAGGCCAUAAACAUGAGACAUGUGGAUCUACGGCUGUACUAUUUACUGGCGUGUGUGACUCGGGCAGCUAAAGUGCGACCAUUUGUCACAUGGAGUGGCAACGGGAUGGCCAGACUGGAACAUUUUUUUCCUCCAUCUUUGUGAAUACAAAGCCUUUUCCACCCCAGGUGAGCUUGGGUAGAGAAGCUGGAAGGAUUGGGAUUCACACAGCUUAGACCCAGACACGCAUUUUUGCUCAUUUUUUAUUCUGAUCGGGGUUAUUUGAUUCUAGAAAGGUGGCAUGUGGGAGUAAAAAGAGUACCAAGAGGAGGGAAGUGGGGAGGAGGCACUUCCCAGGAGUGCCAGUCAAUAAAGAGUAUCUUUAUUGAUACUCUUUAUUGUACCACUCUCUCUUCUGCCCGCUCUUCCUUCCUCCAUUUG
Felis catus (domestic cat) is the source of this 24949-nucleotide long non-coding RNA. RefSeq lists it as uncharacterized. The transcript has 3 exons. Lineage: Eukaryota; Metazoa; Chordata; Mammalia; Carnivora; Felidae. The record is from RefSeq and is a predicted model, not a curated record.